This 300-nucleotide unclassified non-coding RNA is filed under the name Phylloporus sp. Its description in RNAcentral is "partial contains small subunit ribosomal RNA and internal transcribed spacer 1". The stretch from base 1 to 46 matches the Rfam family "Eukaryotic small subunit ribosomal RNA", at positions 1786 to 1831 of the family's 1831-position model. The record is from RNAcentral. Lineage: Eukaryota; Fungi; Basidiomycota; Agaricomycetes; Boletales; Boletaceae.
AAGUCGUAACAAGGUUUCCGUAGGUGAACCUGCGGAAGGAUCAUUAACAAAAUCACAUUGAACCCUGUUGCAUCGGAUCCUUGGAGGGGGUGCUCAUGCAUGUCCAUGUCUGAUUGUGCCUCUUCUAUUGAUCGUCCUUCUUUCUUUUCUUUACUGGCUAGAGCGAGCAUGUCUGCUAGUCACAUUUGACUCGUAGAAUACACUCGGUCCGACCUAGUGCGCAGCACUAGCUAGUAAAGAGAAGAAAGAUACUAAACACACUGAUACAUGCAAUCGCCACACGGCGACUAGGACAAAAAA